UUAAGCGACUAAGCGUACACGGUGGAUGCCCUGGCAGUCAGAGGCGAUGAAGGACGUGCUAAUCUGCGAAAAGCGCCGGCGAGGUGAUAUGAACCUUUGACCCGGCGAUGUCCGAAUGGGGAAACCCAGUGUGUUUCGACACACUAUCGUUAAUUGAAUACAUAGGUUAACGAGGCGAACCGGGGGAACUGAAACAUCUAAGUACCCCGAGGAAAAGAAAUCAACCGAGAUUCCCCCAGUAGCGGCGAGCGAACGGGGAGCAGCCCAGAGUCUGAAUCAGCUUGUGUGUUAGUGGAACGGUCUGGAAAGUCCGGCGAUACAGGGUGACAGCCCCGUACACGAAAAUGCACAGGUUGUGAACUCGAAGAGUAGGGCGGGACACGUGGUAUCCUGUCUGAAUAUGGGGGGACCAUCCUCCAAGGCUAAAUACUCCUGACUGACCGAUAGUGAACCAGUACCGUGAGGGAAAGGCGAAAAGAACCCCGGCGAGGGGAGUGAAAAAGAACCUGAAACCGUGUACGUACAAGCAGUGGGAGCACCUUCGUGGUGUGACUGCGUACCUUUUGUAUAAUGGGUCAGCGACUUAUAUUCUGUAGCAAGGUUAACCGUAUAGGGGAGCCGAAGGGAAACCGAGUCUUAACUGGGCGUUAAGUUGCAGGGUAUAGACCCGAAACCCGGUGAUCUAGCCAUGGGCAGGUUGAAGGUUGGGUAACACUAACUGGAGGACCGAACCGACUAAUGUUGAAAAAUUAGCGGAUGACUUGUGGCUGGGGGUGAAAGGCCAAUCAAACCGGGAGAUAGCUGGUUCUCCCCGAAAGCUAUUUAGGUAGCGCCUCGUGAACUCAUCUUCGGGGGUAGAGCACUGUUUCGGCUAGGGGGCCAUCCCGGCUUACCAACCCGAUGCAAACUACGAAUACCGAAGAAUGUUAUCACGGGAGACACACGGCGGGUGCUAACGUCCGUCGUGAAGAGGGAAACAACCCAGACCGCCAGCUAAGGUCCCAAAGUCAUGGUUAAGUGGGAAACGAUGUGGGAAGGCACAGACAGCCAGGAUGUUGGCUUAGAAGCAGCCAUCAUUUAAAGAAAGCGUAAUAGCUCACUGGUCGAGUCGGCCUGCGCGGAAGAUGUAACGGGGCUAAACCAUGCACCGAAGCUGCGGCAGCGACGCUUAUGCGUUGUUGGGUAGGGGAGCGUUCUGUAAGCCGUUGAAGGUGGCCUGUGAGGGUUGCUGGAGGUAUCAGAAGUGCGAAUGCUGACAUAAGUAACGAUAAAGCGGGUGAAAAGCCCGCUCGCCGGAAGACCAAGGGUUCCUGUCCAACGUUAAUCGGGGCAGGGUGAGUCGACCCCUAAGGCGAGGCCGAAAGGCGUAGUCGAUGGGAAACAGGUUAAUAUUCCUGUACUUGGUGUUACUGCGAAGGGGGGACGGAGAAGGCUAUGUUAGCCGGGCGACGGUUGUCCCGGUUUAAGCAUGUAGGCGGAGGUUCCAGGUAAAUCCGGUACCUUAUUAACGCUGAGGUGUGAUGACGAGGCACUACGGUGCUGAAGUAACAAAUGCCCUGCUUCCAGGAAAAGCCUCUAAGCAUCAGGUAACAUCAAAUCGUACCCCAAACCGACACAGGUGGUCAGGUAGAGAAUACCAAGGCGCUUGAGAGAACUCGGGUGAAGGAACUAGGCAAAAUGGUGCCGUAACUUCGGGAGAAGGCACGCUGAUAUGUAGGUGAAGCCCCUGCGGGUGGAGCUGAAAUCAGUCGAAGAUACCAGCUGGCUGCAACUGUUUAUUAAAAACACAGCACUGUGCAAACACGAAAGUGGACGUAUACGGUGUGACGCCUGCCCGGUGCCGGAAGGUUAAUUGAUGGGGUUAGCGGUAACGCGAAGCUCUUGAUCGAAGCCCCGGUAAACGGCGGCCGUAACUAUAACGGUCCUAAGGUAGCGAAAUUCCUUGUCGGGUAAGUUCCGACCUGCACGAAUGGCGUAAUGAUGGCCAGGCUGUCUCCACCCGAGACUCAGUGAAAUUGAACUCGCUGUGAAGAUGCAGUGUACCCGCGGCAAGACGGAAAGACCCCGUGAACCUUUACUAUAGCUUGACACUGAACACUGGUCCUUGAUGUGUAGGAUAGGUGGGAGGCUUUGAAGCGUGGACGCCAGUCUGCGUGGAGCCGACCUUGAAAUACCACCCUUUAAUGGCUGGUGUUCUAACGUAGACCCGUAAUCCGGGUUGCGGACAGUGUCUGGUGGGUAGUUUGACUGGGGCGGUCUCCUCCCAAAGAGUAACGGAGGAGCACGAAGGUUAGCUAAUCCUGGUCGGACAUCAGGAGGUUAGUGCAAUGGCAUAAGCUAGCUUGACUGCGAGAGUGACGGCUCGAGCAGGUGCGAAAGCAGGUCAUAGUGAUCCGGUGGUUCUGAAUGGAAGGGCCAUCGCUCAACGGAUAAAAGGUACUCCGGGGAUAACAGGCUGAUACCGCCCAAGAGUUCAUAUCGACGGCGGUGUUUGGCACCUCGAUGUCGGCUCAUCACAUCCUGGGGCUGAAGUAGGUCCCAAGGGUAUGGCUGUUCGCCAUUUAAAGUGGUACGCGAGCUGGGUUUAGAACGUCGUGAGACAGUUCGGUCCCUAUCUGCCGUGGGCGCUGGAGAAUUGAGGGGGGCUGCUCCUAGUACGAGAGGACCGGAGUGGACGCAUCACUGGUGUUCGGGUUGUCAUGCCAAUGGCAUUGCCCGGUAGCUAAAUGCGGAAGAGAUAAGUGCUGAAAGCAUCUAAGCACGAAACUUGCCCCGAGAUGAGUUCUCCCUGACUCCUUGAGAGUCCUGAAGGAACGUUGAAGACGACGACGUUGAUAGGUCGGGUGUGUAAGCGUAGCGAUACGUUGAGCUAACCGAUACUAAUGAACCGUGAGGCUUAACCU
RNAcentral lists this ribosomal RNA (2903 nucleotides) under Enterobacter cloacae. Its description in RNAcentral is "23S ribosomal RNA". It matches the Rfam family "Bacterial large subunit ribosomal RNA". Lineage: Bacteria; Pseudomonadati; Pseudomonadota; Gammaproteobacteria; Enterobacterales; Enterobacteriaceae. The record is from RNAcentral.